This 429-nucleotide ribosomal RNA is filed under the name Gemmatimonadota bacterium. RNAcentral describes it as "Gemmatimonadetes bacterium partial 16S ribosomal RNA". It matches the Rfam family "Bacterial small subunit ribosomal RNA", at positions 355 to 776 of the family's 1533-position model. The record is from RNAcentral. Lineage: Bacteria; Pseudomonadati; Gemmatimonadota.
UAGGGAAUCUUCGGCAAUGGACGAAAGUCUGACCGAGCAACGCCGCGUGAGUGAAGAAGGUUUUCGGAUCGUAAAACUCUGUUGUUAGAGAAGAACAAGGACGUUAGUAACUGAACGUCCCCUGACGGUAUCUAACCAGAAAGCCACGGCUAACUACGUGCCAGCAGCCGCGGUAAUACGUAGGUGGCAAGCGUUGUCCGGAUUUAUUGGGCGUAAAGCGAGCGCAGGCGGUUUCUUAAGUCUGAUGUGAAAGCCCCCGGCUCAACCGGGGAGGGUCAUUGGAAACUGGGAGACUUGAGUGCAGAAGAGGAGAGUGGAAUUCCAUGUGUAGCGGUGAAAUGCGUAGAUAUAUGGAGGAACACCCGUGGCGAAGGCGGCUCUCUGGUCUGUAACUGACGCUGAGGCUCGAAAGCGUGGGGAGCAAACAGG